Molecule: transfer RNA, 73 nt
Filed under: Ovis aries (sheep)
Lineage: Eukaryota; Metazoa; Chordata; Mammalia; Artiodactyla; Bovidae
Rfam family: tRNA
About the family: Transfer RNA (tRNA) molecules are approximately 80 nucleotides in length. Their secondary structure includes four short double-helical elements and three loops (D, anti-codon, and T loops).
Source: Rfam by way of RNAcentral
UCCCUGGUGGUCCAGUGGCUAAGACUCCAUGCUCCCAAUGCAGGAGGCCCAGGUUCAAUCCCUGAUCAGGGAA